GAAGCUCUGGAAAGAAAAGCUGUAAGCUGCUAUACUCUGCACAGAGCAUCCAUCUGCACCAGUUACAGGUCAGCAGUCAAGUUUUCUUCCCUUUGCUUCUCAGCACAUGGGGAUUUUCGAUGUUCUUCCAGGAGCUCCAGCCCCAAUGGGCAGCCAGGAACGGGAGUAGGAGGCCAGCGGUGACCCGCGCUGAGAGGACCCAGCAAGUUUUGGGCUCUGCUUAUUCCGUUGACUCGGUGAGAGACUGGGGACCAUAUCUUGCUGACUGAUGGCGGCUGCACUGUGUCUGCAUAAGAGGCUGAAUUUCACCGUGGAGCUAGCCCAGCCCUCUAAACUUCAACCACUUGAAAGGUCUCCAUCAAAACACUUUCUGGUACACUCUUCCUCUUACAUGGUCUGAAACAACGGCAUUGUCCCACAAUGACACUGGCCAAGAGGGAUCAAAGGGGUUUGUUGCUGUUGCCCAGACACCUGUUCUUCCUUUGUGUCCCAGGCUGGUCUUGGACUCACUGGCUAGCGUGGGCUGGCCUCUAAUUCAUGAUUCUUCUGCUCCUUCAUCUCAAGCGCUAGAAUAACAGCCAUGAGGUGCCACGCCCAACUCCAACAGAAUGCUUUUAAAACCUUCUAGGCCUUUAAGAGUAUACACAAACACUGGCCGGGCUGGGGGAAUGGCUCAGUGGUGAGGAGCACUGGUUGCUUCUCUAGAUGACCUGGGUUCAGUUCCCGGCACCCACCUGGCAGCUCACAACUAUCUGUAACAGUUCUAGGGGAUCUAUUCCACCAGGCUCACACAUGGUACACG
This 802-nucleotide long non-coding RNA is filed under the name Rattus norvegicus (Norway rat). RNAcentral describes it as "long non-coding RNA NONRATT003675". Lineage: Eukaryota; Metazoa; Chordata; Mammalia; Rodentia; Muridae. The record is from RNAcentral.